This 427-nucleotide ribosomal RNA is filed under the name uncultured Ruminococcus sp. Its description in RNAcentral is "partial 16S ribosomal RNA". Lineage: Bacteria; Bacillati; Bacillota; Clostridia; Eubacteriales; Oscillospiraceae. RNAcentral also lists the same sequence under 1 other name. The record is from RNAcentral.
UGGMGGCACGCCUAACWCAURCAAGUCGRACGGAGGUAUUUUGGUUUAUGAGAUAUUUUAGUGGCGGACGGGUGAGUAACACKUGAGCAACCUGCCUMGAGAGAGGGAUAGMUUCUGGAAACGGAUGGUAAUACCUCAUAACAUAACGAAGCCGCAUGACUUUGUUAUCAAAGAUUUAUCACUCAGAGAUGGGCUCGCGUYUGAUUAGRUAGUUGGUGAGGUAACGGCCCACCAAGUYGACGAUCAGUAGCCGGACUGAGAGGUUGAACGGCCACAUUGGGACUGAGACACGGCCCAGACUCCUACGGGAGGCAGCAGUGGGGAAUAUUGCACAGUGGGGGAAACCCUGAUGCAGMGAWARMSGCGUGGAGGAAGAAGGUUUUCGGAUUGUUAAACUCCUGUCUAAAGGACGAUAAUGACGGUACUU